AUGUGGUUAAUUCGAUGAUACGCGAGGAACCUUACCUGGGCUUAAAUGUAGAGUGCAUUUUUUAGAGAUAGAAAUUCCCUUCGGGGCUUUCUGCAAGGUGCUGCAUGGUUGUCGUCAGCUCGUGCCGUGAGGUGUCGGGUUAAGUCCCAUAACGAGCGCAACCCUUAUCGUUAGUUGCCAUCUGGUAAUGCAGGGGACUCUAGCGAAACUGCCACCGUAAGGUGAGAGGAAGUGGGGAUGACGUCAAAUCAGCACGGCCCUUAUGUCCAGGGCUACACACGUGUUACAAUGGUCGGUACAGAGGGCAGCUACCUGGUGACAGGAUGCUAAUCUCGAAAACCGGUCUCAGUUCGGAUCGAAGUCUGCAACUCGACUUCGUGAAGCUGGAUUCGCUAGUAAUCGCGCAUCAGCUAUGGCGCGGUGAAUACGUUCCCGGGCCUU
This 441-nucleotide ribosomal RNA is filed under the name uncultured Sphingobacteriales bacterium. RNAcentral describes it as "bacterial SSU rRNA". It matches the Rfam family "Bacterial small subunit ribosomal RNA", at positions 939 to 1382 of the family's 1533-position model. The record is from RNAcentral. Lineage: Bacteria; Pseudomonadati; Bacteroidota; Sphingobacteriia; Sphingobacteriales.